RNAcentral lists this long non-coding RNA (1648 nucleotides) under Anas platyrhynchos platyrhynchos (common mallard). RNAcentral's name for it is "lncRNA (ENSAPLG00000023169.1)". The record is from RNAcentral. Lineage: Eukaryota; Metazoa; Chordata; Aves; Anseriformes; Anatidae.
CCCGCAGGCUGUCCCACCUCUCGCUGCGCAAUAAUGGCCUCGGUGACGAGGCGGCGCGGCUGCUGGGGCUGAGCCUCUCCACCCUCGGCUCCUCCAACCGCAGCCUGGUCUCGCUGGUGCUCAGCUUCAACCACAUCUCGGAUUUGGGAGCGGGGCACAUCGCCCAGGUGGGGGCUAUGGGGUGGGCGAGGGGGGGCCCCGCUGUCUGUGUGCCCCCCCCCCUUCCCCUCUCAGCUUUUUCUGUGCGCCCCCCAUCCCCAAGGGUUUGCGCUGGAACCGCUCGCUGCUGUCGCUGUCCCUGGCGCACAAUGACAUUGGGGAUGAGGGGGCUCUGCGGCUGGCUCAGGUGGGUUUGGGCCCCCCCGGGUCCGUGUAGGGGAGCGGGAUGGGGUCGGAGCGGGAUGGGAUCAGAGCGGGAUGGGGCUGGGAGUGUGAUGGGGUCGGAGCAAGUUGGGGCCGGAGCAGGUUGGGCUCGGAGCGGGAUGGGGUCGGAGCAGGACAGGGUUGGAGAGGGAUGAGGCUGGAGUGGGAUGGGGUCGGAGAUGGAUGGGGCCAGAGCGGGAUGGAGCUGGAGUGGGAUGGGGUUGGAGUAGGAUGGGGUUGGAGUAGGAUGAGAUCAGAGCAGGAUGGGGUCAGAGUGGGACAGGGUUGGAGAGGGAUAGGGUUGGAGUGGAAUGGGGUCAGAGCAGGAUGGGGCUGGGAGCGGGAUGGGGCCGGAGCAGGAUGGGGAUGGAGCAGGAUCAGAUCAGGGGAGAACGGGAUCAGAGCAGGAUGGGGAUGGAGAGGGAUGGGGUUGGAGUGGAUUGGGGUCAGAGCAGGAUGCGGUUGGAGCAGGACAGGGCCAGAGCGGUAUGGGGUUGGAGCGGGAUGGGAUCAGAGCAGGAUGGGGUCGGAGCAUGACAGGGCUGGAGAUGGAUGGGGUCGGAGUGGGAUGGGAUCAGAGCAGGAUGGGGCUGGGAAGGGGAUGGGGUCAGAGCAGAAUGGGGUCGGAGCAGGAUGGGGUUGGAGCGGGUUGCACUCGGAGUGGGAUGGGGUCAGAAUGGGAUGGGGUUGGAGAGGGAUGGAGCCAGAGCGGGUUGGGGGCAGAGCAGGACAGGGCUGGAGUGGGAUGGGGCUGGAGGAGAGCAGGACGGGAUCGGAGCAGGACGGGGCCGGCCCCAUAACCACAUCCCCGACCCCGCUGGUGCCAGGUGCUGGCUCCUUUCGCUCUGACGCACGCCGAGGUGGUGGAACGGCGGCGGCUGCUGCUGGCGGAGGCCAUGGAGAAGCCCCAGGCGCCCGAGGGCAGGAGCGAGCGCGCCCCGAGCCUGCAGAGCGGCGCGGCCACCGAGAGGCUGCUCCCGGCCAAGCACAGCAAGAGCACGGCCAAAAAGAAGGAGCUGCCGCGGAAGGACGAGCUGAAACAGCCCAAAAAAUGCGCAGGAUGCGGCCGAGCCCUCGCACCCGCUGCUGGAGCCGGCGUGGCACCGCCAGGGCCAGGUCGUGGUGCCGGGGAACCGAGCGCUGCUCAACCUCAACCUGUGCCAUAACCGCAUCACGGAGCGGGGGCUGGCUGCUUUCCUGGCUGUGCUGCAGGAGGAGCAGCCGGGGGGGGGGCACGGGGAGGCCGGGGCUGCUGCGCCUCUCGCUGCAGGUGAGCUGGGGGGGG